CGGGAUGUAGCUCAGCUUGGUUUAGAGUACACGUCUGGGGGGCGUGGGGUCGAAGGUUCAAAUCCUUUCAUCCCGACUA
RNAcentral lists this transfer RNA (79 nucleotides) under Bacteroidetes bacterium HGW-Bacteroidetes-4. RNAcentral's name for it is "tRNA-Pro". It matches the Rfam family "tRNA". Rfam says of the family: Transfer RNA (tRNA) molecules are approximately 80 nucleotides in length. The record is from RNAcentral. Lineage: Bacteria; Pseudomonadati; Bacteroidota.